UGGGGAAUUUUGGACAAUGGGCGAAAGCCUGAUCCAGCAAUGCCGCGUGUGUGAAGAAGGCCUUCGGGUUGUAAAGCACUUUUGUCCGGAAAGAAAUCCUUGGCUCUAAUACAGUCGGGGGAUGACGGUACCGGAAGAAUAAGCACCGGCUAACUACGUGCCAGCAGCCGCGGUAAUACGUAGGGUGCAAGCGUUAAUCGGAAUUACUGGGCGUAAAGCGUGCGCAGGCGGUUUGCUAAGACCGAUGUGAAAUCCCCGGGCUCAACCUGGGAACUGCAUUGGUGACUGGCAGGCUAGAGUAUGGCAGAGGGGGUAGAAUUCCACGUGUAGCAGUGAAAUGCGUAGAGAUGUGGAGGAAUACCGAUGGCGAAGGCAGCCCCCUGGGCCAAUACUGACGCUCAUGCACGAAAGCGUGGGGAGCAAAACAGGAUUAGAUACCCUGGUAGUCCACGCCCUAAACGAUGUCAACUAGUUGUUGGGGAUUCAUUUCCUUAGUAACGUAGCUAACGCGUGAAGUUGACCGCCUGGGGAGUACGGUCGCAAGAUUAAAACUCAAAUGAAUUGAC
RNAcentral lists this ribosomal RNA (566 nucleotides) under uncultured bacterium. RNAcentral describes it as "partial 16S ribosomal RNA". It matches the Rfam family "Bacterial small subunit ribosomal RNA", at positions 355 to 914 of the family's 1533-position model. The record is from RNAcentral.